Molecule: ribosomal RNA, 1131 nt
Filed under: Triticum aestivum (bread wheat)
Lineage: Eukaryota; Viridiplantae; Streptophyta; Magnoliopsida; Poales; Poaceae
Description: partial small subunit ribosomal RNA
Source: RNAcentral
AUGAAACAACCUCCUGGGUUUGUAAGUGCACAGGCACCACUUCAUGUGUGCAAACUUGACAAGGCCUUGUAUGGACUGAAACAGGCCCCAAGAGCAUGGUAUUCUCGUCUCAGUAAAAAGAUGCAAACACUUGGUUUUGUUCCCUCAAAGUCUAACACUUCGUUAUUUAUCUAUAACAAGUCAAGAGUAUCCAUAUUUGUUCUCAUUUAUGUUGAUGAUAUAAUUGUAACAAGCUUAUCUGAUGAAGCAAUAACAGCACUGUUGAAGGAUUUAAGUGCAGAAUUUGCUCUAAAGGAUCUAGGAGAUUUGCAUUACUUUCUUGGUAUUGAGGUCAAGCAACACAAGGAUGGUCUUCACCUCUCUCAAGAAAAGUAUGCAACAGACUUGGUAAAAAAGGCUGGUUUGCAAAGUUGUAAGUCUGCACCCACUCCUUUGUCUAGCACAGAAAAAUUGUCUCUUGCUGAAGGAGAGCCUCUGAAUUCAGAAAAUGGUACGAAAUAUAGGAGCUUGGUAGGUGCACUUCAAUACUUAACAUUGACUAGACCAGAUAUUUCUUUUGCUGUCAAUAAAGUAUGCCAGUUUCUUCAUGCACCUACCACUGUUCAUAUGACUGCUGCAAAACGUAUAGUAAGAUAUGUGAAAAGCACUUUGAGUAUUGGUCUAAACUUCAGCAAGUCAUCCUCUACACUUGUCAGUGCCUUUUCUGACUUAAACUGGGCUGGGUGUCUAGAUGAUAGACGCUCAACUGGUGGUUUUGCGGUAUUCUUUGGACCCAAUUUGAUAUCUUGGAGUGCCAGAAAGCAAGCUACACUUUCAAGAUCCAGUACAGAGGCAGAGUACAAACCAUUGGCUAAUGCAACAGCAGAGAUCAUAUGGGUACAGUCAAUUUUAAAGGAACUUGGUAUAAGAAGCACUAGAGCUCCAUGUUUGUGGUGUGACAAUCUAGGAGCUACCUAUCUGUCAGUAAAUCCAGUCUUUCAUGCUAGGACCAAGCACAUUGAAAUAGAUUUUCACUUUGUUCGAGAAAGAGUUGCAAAUAAGCUCUUGGAUAUUCGGUUCAUUCAUUCUCAAGACCAAGUUGCUGAUGGUUUUACCAAAGCAUUGCCUACAAGAAGUUUUGAAGACUUCAAG